Molecule: ribosomal RNA, 490 nt
Filed under: uncultured bacterium
Lineage: Bacteria
Description: partial 16S ribosomal RNA
Rfam family: Bacterial small subunit ribosomal RNA
Source: RNAcentral
AUUGAACGCUGGCGGCAGGCCUAACACAUGCAAGUCGAACGGUAACAGGAAGACGCUUGCUUCUUUGCUGACGAGUGGCGGACGGGUGAGUAAUGUCUGGGAAACUGCCUGAUGGAGGGGGAUAACUACUGGAAACGGUAGCUAAUACCGCAUAACGUCGCAAGACCAAAGAGGGGGACCUUCUGGCCUCUUGCCAUCGGAUGUGCCCAGAUGGGAUUAGCUAGUAGGUGGGGUAACGGCUCACCUAGGCGACGAUCCCUAGCUGGUCUGAGAGGAUGACCAGCCACACUGGAACUGAGACACGGUCCAGACUCCUACGGGAGGCAGCAGUGGGGAAUAUUGCACAAUGGGCGCAAGCCUGAUGCAGCCAUGCCGCGUGUAUGAAGAAGGCCUUCGGGUUGUAAAGUACUUUCAGCGGGGAGGAAGGGAGUAAAGUUAAUACCUUUACUCAUUGACGUUACCCGCAGAAGAAGCACCGGCUAACUCCGUG